AAGUUUCAACAACGGAUCUCUUGGCUCUCGCAUCGAUGAAGGACGCAGCGAAAUGCGAUAAGUAAUGUGAAUUGCAGAAUUCAGUGAAUCAUCGAAUCUUUGAACGCACCUUGCGCUCCUUGGUAUUCCUUGGAGCAUGCCUGUUUGAGUAUCAU
Molecule: ribosomal RNA, 155 nt
Filed under: Thanatephorus cucumeris
Lineage: Eukaryota; Fungi; Basidiomycota; Agaricomycetes; Cantharellales; Ceratobasidiaceae
Description: 5.8S ribosomal RNA
Rfam family: 5.8S ribosomal RNA
About the family: 5.8S ribosomal RNA (5.8S rRNA) is a component of the large subunit of the eukaryotic ribosome. It is transcribed by RNA polymerase I as part of the 45S precursor that also contains 18S and 28S rRNA.
Source: RNAcentral